CUUUUCUCUUUUACUUGGAGGUAAAUCAAUCUGACCUACCACUUAAUGAAAUCUCUUUUUUACAGGAUGAAGGAAGCAGAUGGGAAAAACAGAGGAAGAAAAGAAAAAGGAGACUUUCGUCUUCAUGUGUAAAUUUUCUGGAGUUUAAAGACACAUGACUUCGAUGUUACUGAGAUUGUGUCAUAAUCAUCAAACGGAGCCCGUGCCAAACAAACCAGAUGGAGCUUUCAAUCAACAAGCUGCAUUUAUUAUUGAUAUCUGUGGCUUAUUUGUUAUCCAUGCACCUUUUAACAGCAUAAGUUUUCAGAUUCUGCA
RNAcentral lists this long non-coding RNA (315 nucleotides) under Zonotrichia albicollis (white-throated sparrow). RNAcentral's name for it is "lncRNA (ENSZALG00000006604.1)". The record is from RNAcentral. Lineage: Eukaryota; Metazoa; Chordata; Aves; Passeriformes; Passerellidae.